RNAcentral lists this ribosomal RNA (467 nucleotides) under uncultured bacterium. RNAcentral describes it as "partial 16S ribosomal RNA". It matches the Rfam family "Bacterial small subunit ribosomal RNA", at positions 28 to 507 of the family's 1533-position model. The record is from RNAcentral.
GAUGAACGCUGGCGGCGUGCUUAACACAUGCAAGUCGAACGGAAAGGCCCAAGCUUGCUUGGGUACUCGAGUGGCGAACGGGUGAGUAACACGUGGGUGAUCUGCCCUGCACUUCGUGAUAAGCCUUGGAAACUGGGUCUAAUACCGGGUAGGACCACUUCUUGGGCGUUGUGGUGGAAAGUUUUUCGGUUGUGGUAUGAGGUCGCGGCCUAUCCGCUUAUUGUUGGGGUAAUGGUCUACCAAGGCGUCGACGGGAAGCCGGACUGAGAGAGUGUUCGACGGCAUUGAGUCUGAGAGACGGCACAGACACGUACGGGAGGGAGCAGGGGGGAAUAUUGAAGAAGGGGCGCAGGCCGGGUGCAGAGAGGCCGCGUGGGGGAUGACGGCCUUCGGGUUGUAGAAUACUUUCGCUAGGAACGAAGCGUUUUGUGACGGUACCUGGAGAGGAAGCACCGGCUAACUACGUG